RNAcentral lists this ribosomal RNA (407 nucleotides) under Verrucomicrobiota bacterium. RNAcentral's name for it is "Verrucomicrobia bacterium partial 16S ribosomal RNA". It matches the Rfam family "Bacterial small subunit ribosomal RNA", at positions 355 to 776 of the family's 1533-position model. Lineage: Bacteria; Pseudomonadati; Verrucomicrobiota. The record is from RNAcentral.
UGGGGAAUUUUGGACAAUGGAGGAAACCCUGAUCCAGCAAUCCUGUGUGUGUGAAGAAGGUUUUAGGAUUGUAAAACACUUUUAGUAGGGAAGAAAAACAUGAUGGUAUCUACAGAUGAAGCAACGGUUAAAUACGUGCCAGCAGCCGCGGUAAUACGUAUGUUGCGAGCGUUAUCCGGAAUUAUUGGGCUUAAAGGGCAUCUAGGCGGUAAGACAAGUUGAAGGUGAAAACCUGGGGCUCAACCAUAGGCUUGCCUACAAAACUGUUGAACUAGAGUACUGGAAAGGUGGGUGGAACUACACGAGUAGAGGUGAAAUUCGUAGAUAUGUGUAGGAAUGCCGAUGAUGAAGAUGACUCACUGGACAGAAACUGACGCUGAAGUGCGAAAGCUAGGGGAGCAAACAGG